This 301-nucleotide ribosomal RNA is filed under the name uncultured bacterium. RNAcentral's name for it is "partial 16S ribosomal RNA". It matches the Rfam family "Bacterial small subunit ribosomal RNA", at positions 509 to 808 of the family's 1533-position model. The record is from RNAcentral.
CAGUCGCCGCGGUAAUACGAAGGGUGCAAGCGUUAAUCGGAAUUACUGGGCGUAAAGCGUGCGUAGGCGGUGAGUUAAGUCUGCUGUGAAAUCCCCGGGCUCAACCUGGGAAUGGCAGUGGAUACUGGCUCGCUAGAGUGUGUCAGAGGAUGGUGGAAUUCCCGGUGUAGCGGUGAAAUGCGUAGAGAUCGGGAGGAACAUCAGUGGCGAAGGCGGCCAUCUGGGACAACACUGACGCUGAGGCACGAAAGUGUGGGGAGCAAACAGGAUUAGAUACCCCGGUAGUCCCUGUCUCUAUACA